Molecule: long non-coding RNA, 1158 nt
Organism: Pocillopora verrucosa
Lineage: Eukaryota; Metazoa; Cnidaria; Anthozoa; Scleractinia; Pocilloporidae
Source: RefSeq, a predicted model, not a curated record
GAGAAUAGCAGGGUCGAACUGUCGAUGGACAUUAAAAUAUCAACUGACAGAUGAGGAGAAAAAUGUUCGAAAUCGUUGGAGUUAACUCCAUGUAGAUUGUUUGCUGGCACCAACUUCCGUUUCAAUUCGAUUUAUGACAUCUUAGUGGCUCUUUAGCAUACCGAACCGUGAAAAGGCACAGUAGCUACAGGAAAGAAGUGCUAAUACUUCAGAGUUAAAUAUUUGGAAAAAGUGACAACGUUCGCAAGCAGGUUUCAGCUAUUGUGUAAUCAAAACCUCAUGAUGGGUGUGCUUCAACACAGACAAUUUGGAGCCAAGAGAACCAUAAAUGGUAUGUCAUGUCAACUCUAUCAUAAAGAGGCUUUGUCUUGCCGGGACAAAACAUUUUUUUUCGCUGACCAAACAGGGACUUUGCUCACCCAACUAACGCUUACGUGCGAAGGAGGAAGCAAAUUUAGCGUAUGAUGAUCGUGUUUUGGUAAGCCGCUUCGUGGAGGCAUUUUCUAUUUUAAGCUUCGAGCUUUCUCUUUGGCAACAAUAACAAUAAGUUUUCAAUUUCUUCCAAAUAUUUACGUUGGACUGUAGCAAGUUUUACACUUCCAACUAAUUGAAGCCGUUUAAAAUCAGCAAGAACUGAUAGACCAAAUUUGAUAUUAUAGAACCAAAACUUCUCUACAAAUAUAAGUCUGUGGAACACCAACAUACUUUAGCGUGGAAUGUUAAAUAUUUACGGUGUACUUAUGGAGUUUUAGCUUCAUGAAGCUUCUUCAAAGCGAAAGGAAAUUUUAUUUGAAAACACCAAGUCACUCCGACAAAGGGCUUAAGACAAUUCCUUCGUAAAUUUCUGGAAAGCUUUUCCGUGACAAGCUGGGACGUGACUUCAAUAUGCAUAAUUAAUCCCGCAAAUUGUAAUUUCGAAAGCUUAAAAUAAUCCUACUCGAAAGUCCCAAAAACUCCGAAACAAAAACAAAGUUUUUCCUCAAUUCAACCGCGUCGGCUGACCACAAAAUUGGCAAGCAAAACGGAUGAAAAGGUUGUUAAUACAUCGCGGUUCCAAAUACGGAAACCCUGCUAAUUCUUUGUCGAGCAUUGUUGACUUUGGUCCAAACAGACGACAUGAUUGAAAUAAACAGAUUGGUUUUAUUUCUCCUUUUAUAA